This 126-nucleotide non-coding RNA is filed under the name Caballeronia glathei. Lineage: Bacteria; Pseudomonadati; Pseudomonadota; Betaproteobacteria; Burkholderiales; Burkholderiaceae. The record is from RNAcentral.
UUAGAAUGGCAAGCUUGCAGUGCGAGGAAGCCGGUGUAAACCCGGCACGGUCGCGCCACUGUGAGCGGUGUCCCGACCCUUGUCGUCAUCCGCGAGUCAGACCCCCGCUGCAGCCUUCCUUCAUCU